AGGGCGGGACACGUGGUAUCCUGUCUGAAUAUGGGGGGACCAUCCUCCAAGGCUAAAUACUCCUGACUGACCGAUAGUGAACCAGUACCGUGAGGGAAAGGCGAAAAGAACCCCGGCGAGGGGAGUGAAAAAGAACCUGAAACCGUGUACGUACAAGCAGUGGGAGCCUCUUUAUGGGGUGACUGCGUACCUUUUGUAUAAUGGGUCAGCGACUUAUAUUCUGUAGCAAGGUUAACCGAAUAGGGGAGCCGAAGGGAAACCGAGUCUUAACUGGGCGUUAAGUUGCAGGGUAUAGACCCGAAACCCGGUGAUCUAGCCAUGGGCAGGUUGAAGGUUGGGUAACACUAACUGGAGGACCGAACCGACUAAUGUUGAAAAAUUAGCGGAUGACUUGUGGCUGGGGGUGAAAGGCCAAUCAAACCGGGAGAUAGCUGGUUCUCCCCGAAAGCUAUUUAGGUAGCGCCUCGUGAACUCAUCUCCGGGGGUAGAGCACUGUUUCGGCAAGGGGGUCAUCCCGACUUACCAACCCGAUGCAAACUGCGAAUACCGGAGAAUGUUAUCACGGGAGACACACGGCGGGUGCUAACGUCCGUCGUGAAGAGGGAAACAACCCAGACCGCCAGCUAAGGUCCCAAAGUCAUGGUUAAGUGGGAAACGAUGUGGGAAGGCCCAGACAGCCAGGAUGUUGGCUUAGAAGCAGCCAUCAUUUAAAGAAAGCGUAAUAGCUCACUGGUCGAGUCGGCCUGCGCGGAAGAUGUAACGGGGCUAAACCAUGCACCGAAGCUGCGGCAGCGACGCUUAUGCGUUGUUGGGUAGGGGAGCGUUCUGUAAGCCUGUGAAGGUGUGCUGUGAGGCAUGCUGGAGGUAUCAGAAGUGCGAAUGCUGACAUAAGUAACGAUAAAGCGGGUGAAAAGCCCGCUCGCCGGAAGACCAAGGGUUCCUGUCCAACGUUAAUCGGGGCAGGGUGAGUCGACCCCUAAGGCGAGGCCGAAAGGCGUAGUCGAUGGGAAACAGGUUAAUAUUCCUGUACUUGGUGUUACUGCGAAGGGGGGACGGAGAAGGCUAUGUUGGCCGGGCGACGGUUGUCCCGGUUUAAGCGUGUAGGCUGGUUUUCCAGGCAAAUCCGGAAAAUCAAGGCUGAGGCGUGAUGACGAGGCACUACGGUGCUGAAGCAACAAAUGCCCUGCUUCCAGGAAAAGCCUCUAAGCAUCAGGUAACAUCAAAUCGUACCCCAAACCGACACAGGUGGUCAGGUAGAGAAUACCAAGGCGCUUGAGAGAACUCGGGUGAAGGAACUAGGCAAAAUGGUGCCGUAACUUCGGGAGAAGGCACGCUGAUAUGUAGGUGAAGUCCCUCGCGGAUGGAGCUGAAAUCAGUCGAAGAUACCAGCUGGCUGCAACUGUUUAUUAAAAACACAGCACUGUGCAAACACGAAAGUGGACGUAUACGGUGUGACGCCUGCCCGGUGCCGGAAGGUUAAUUGAUGGGGUCAGCGCAAGCGAAGCUCUUGAUCGAAGCCCCGGUAAACGGCGGCCGUAACUAUAACGGUCCUAAGGUAGCGAAAUUCCUUGUCGGGUAAGUUCCGACCUGCACGAAUGGCGUAAUGAUGGCCAGGCUGUCUCCACCCGAGACUCAGUGAAAUUGAACUCGCUGUGAAGAUGCAGUGUACCCGCGGCAAGACGGAAAGACCCCGUGAACCUUUACUAUAGCUUGACACUGAACAUUGAGCCUUGAUGUGUAGGAUAGGUGGGAGGCUUAGAAGUGUGGACGCCAGUCUGCAUGGAGCCGACCUUGAAAUACCACCCUUUAAUGUUUGAUGUUCUAACGUUGACCCGUAAUCCGGGUUGCGGACAGUGUCUGGUGGGUAGUUUGACUGGGGCGGUCUCCUCCUAAAGAGUAACGGAGGAGCACGAAGGUUGGCUAAUCCUGGUCGGACAUCAGGAGGUUAGUGCAAUGGCAUAAGCCAGCUUGACUGCGAGCGUGACGGCGCGAGCAGGUGCGAAAGCAGGUCAUAGUGAUCCGGUGGUUCUGAAUGGAAGGGCCAUCGCUCAACGGAUAAAAGGUACUCCGGGGAUAACAGGCUGAUACCGCCCAAGAGUUCAUAUCGACGGCGGUGUUUGGCACCUCGAUGUCGGCUCAUCACAUCCUGGGGCUGAAGUAGGUCCCAAGGGUAUGGCUGUUCGCCAUUUAAAGUGGUACGCGAGCUGGGUUUAGAACGUCGUGAGACAGUUCGGUCCCUAUCUGCCGUGGGCGCUGGAGAACUGAGGGGGGCUGCUCCUAGUACGAGAGGACCGGAGUGGACGCAUCACUGGUGUUCGGGUUGUCAUGCCAAUGGCACUGCCCGGUAGCUAAAUGCGGAAGAGAUAAGUGCUGAAAGCAUCUAAGCACGAAACUUGCC
Molecule: ribosomal RNA, 2398 nt
Filed under: Escherichia coli
Lineage: Bacteria; Pseudomonadati; Pseudomonadota; Gammaproteobacteria; Enterobacterales; Enterobacteriaceae
Description: partial 23S ribosomal RNA
Rfam family: Bacterial large subunit ribosomal RNA
Source: RNAcentral